UUAAAAGAUUUUAUAUGGGCAAGAGCAAUACUGCCAAUAAGGAAAUUGUAAAUGAUGUAGCUUUCUACAUCAUUUACAAUUUCCUUAUUGGCAGUAUUGCUCUUGCCCAUAUAAAAUCUUUUA
This is a non-coding RNA of Pelobates cultripes (western spadefoot toad), 123 nucleotides long. NCBI's taxonomy places the organism in Eukaryota, Metazoa, Chordata, Amphibia, Anura, Pelobatidae. The record is from the annotation of a GenBank genome assembly.